GCCAGCGUGGUGUAUUGGUUUGAAUAUUACACUACCACUCUAAAGACCAGGGUUCCAUUCCCAGCUUGGUCA
This is a non-coding RNA of Phrynosoma platyrhinos (Desert horned lizard), 72 nucleotides long. Lineage: Eukaryota; Metazoa; Chordata; Lepidosauria; Squamata; Phrynosomatidae. The record is from the annotation of a GenBank genome assembly.